Molecule: transfer RNA, 75 nt
Filed under: Actinobacteria bacterium IMCC26256
Lineage: Bacteria; Bacillati; Actinomycetota; Actinomycetes
Description: tRNA-Thr
Rfam family: tRNA
About the family: Transfer RNA (tRNA) molecules are approximately 80 nucleotides in length.
Source: RNAcentral
GCCCCCUUAGCUCAGUGGUAGAGCACUUCCAUGGUAAGGAAGGGGUCUACGGUUCAAUCCCGUAAGGGGGCUCCG